RNAcentral lists this ribosomal RNA (301 nucleotides) under uncultured bacterium. RNAcentral describes it as "partial 16S ribosomal RNA". It matches the Rfam family "Bacterial small subunit ribosomal RNA", at positions 509 to 807 of the family's 1533-position model. The record is from RNAcentral.
CAGUCGCCGCGGUAACACGUAGGGUGCGAGCGUUGUCCGGAAUUACUGGGCGUAAAGAGCUCGUAGGCGGUUUGUCGCGUCGUCUGUGAAAUUCUGCAGCUUAACUGUAGGCUUGCAGGCGAUACGGGCAGACUUGAGUACUACAGGGGAGACUGGAAUUCCUGGUGUAGCGGUGAAGUGCGCAGAUAUCAGGAGGAACACCGGUGGCGAAGGCGGGUCUCUGGGUAGUAACUGACGCUGAGGAGCGAAAGCGUGGGUAGCGAACAGGAUUAGAGACCCCCGUAGUCCCUGUCUCUUAUAC